GUUAAAAUGGUUGCAAAAAUGUA
This 23-nucleotide non-coding RNA is filed under the name Arabidopsis thaliana (thale cress). The record is from RNAcentral. Lineage: Eukaryota; Viridiplantae; Streptophyta; Magnoliopsida; Brassicales; Brassicaceae.